GAGGAAUAUUGGUCAAUGGACGAAAGUCUGAACCAGCCAUGCCGCGUGAAGGAUGACGGCCCUACGGGUUGUAAACUUCUUUUGUAUAGGAAGAAACCCCUCUACGUGUAGAGGGCUGACGGUACUAUACGAAUAAGCACCGGCUAACUCCGUGCCAGCAGCCGCGGUAAUACGGAGGGUGCAAGCGUUAUCCGGAAUUAUUGGGUUUAAAGGGUGCGUAGGUGGAAAUUUAAGUCAGUGGUGAAAGCCCACAGCUCAACUGUGGAAUUGCCAUUGAUACUGAAUUUCUUGAAUCUGAUUGAAGUAGGCGGAACAUGACAUGUAGCGGUGAAAUGCUUAGAUAUGUCAUAGAACACCGAUAGCGAAGGCAGCUUACUAAGUCAGUAUUGACACUGAGGCACGAAAGCGUGGGGAGCGAAC
RNAcentral lists this ribosomal RNA (420 nucleotides) under uncultured Bacteroidota bacterium. RNAcentral's name for it is "bacterial SSU rRNA". It matches the Rfam family "Bacterial small subunit ribosomal RNA", at positions 356 to 773 of the family's 1533-position model. Lineage: Bacteria; Pseudomonadati; Bacteroidota. The record is from RNAcentral.